Molecule: ribosomal RNA, 468 nt
Filed under: uncultured bacterium
Lineage: Bacteria
Description: partial 16S ribosomal RNA
Rfam family: Bacterial small subunit ribosomal RNA
Source: RNAcentral
GACGAACGCUGGCGGCGUGCUUAACACAUGCAAGUCGAACGGAAAGGCUCCAGCUUGCUGGAGUACUCGAGUGGCGAACGGGUGAGUAACACGUGGGUGAUCUGCCCUGCACUUCGGGAUAAGCCUGGGAAACUGGGUCUAAUACCGGAUAGGACCGCACUUUGGUGUGUGUGGUGGAAAGGUUUUUCUGGUGUGGGAUGAGCUCGCGGCCUAUCAGUUUGUUGGUGGGGUAAUGGCCUACCAAGACGGCGACGGGUAGCCGGCCUGAGAGGGUGGACGGUCACAGUGGGACUGAGAUACGGCCCAGACUCCUACGGGAGGGAGCAGGGGGGAAUAUUGCACAAUGGGGGAAACCCUGAUGCAGCGACGCCGCGUGGGGGAUGAAGGCCUUCGGGUUGUAAACUCCUUUCGCUAGGGACGAAGCUUUUUGUGACGGUACCUGGAGAAGAAGCACCGGCUAACUACGUG